UACGACGGACGAACGCUGGCGGCGUGCCUAACACAUGCAAGUCGAGCGAGAAUCUCUUGACGGAUCCCUUCGGGGUGAAGAUAAGAGAGGAAAGCGGCGGACGGGUGAGUAACGCGUGAGUAACCUGCCUUCAGGAGGGGGACAACAUUCCGAAAGGGAUGCUAAUACCGCAUAAUAUUGUUUUAUCGCAUGAUUUAACAAUCAAAGAUUUAUCGCCUGAAGAUGGACUCGCGUCUGAUUAGAUAGUUGGUGAGGUAACGGCUCACCAAGUCGACGAUCAGUAGCCGGACUGAGAGGUUGAACGGCCACAUUGGGACUGAGACACGGCCCAGACUCCUACGGGAGGCAGCAGUGGGGAAUAUUGCACAAUGGGCGCAAGCCUGAUGCAGCAACGCCGCGUGAGGGAUGACGGUCUUCGGAUUGUAAACCUUUGUUGAUGGGGAAGAAACAUGACGGUACCCAUCGAGGAAGCCACGGCUAACUACGUG
Molecule: ribosomal RNA, 488 nt
Filed under: uncultured bacterium
Lineage: Bacteria
Description: bacterial SSU rRNA
Rfam family: Bacterial small subunit ribosomal RNA
Source: RNAcentral